RNAcentral lists this ribosomal RNA (503 nucleotides) under uncultured bacterium. RNAcentral's name for it is "bacterial SSU rRNA". It matches the Rfam family "Bacterial small subunit ribosomal RNA", at positions 39 to 524 of the family's 1533-position model. The record is from RNAcentral.
UUUAAAAGCUGCGGCAGCUUACACAUGCAGUCGAACGGUAGCAGGAGAAAGCUUGCUUUCUUGCUGACGAGUGGCGGACGGGUGAGUAAUGCUUGGGAAUCUGGCUUAUGGAGGGGGAUAACUACUGGAAACGGUAGCUAAUACCGCGUAAUAUCGGAAGAUUAAAGGGUGGGACCGAAAGGCCACCUGCCAUAAGAUGAGCCCAAGUGGGAUUAGGUAGUUGGUGGGGUAAAGGCCUACCAAGCCGACGAUCUCUAGCCGGUCUGAGAGGAUGACCAGCCACACUGGAACUGAGACACGGUCCAGACUCCUACGGGAGGCAGCAGUGGGGAAUAUUGCACAAUGGGGGGAACCCUGAUGCAGCCAUGCCGCGUGAAUGAAGAAGGCCUUCGGGUUGUAAAGUUCUUUCGGUGAUGAGGAAGGCAGAUAAGUUAAUAGCUUAUUUGAUUGACGUUAGUCACAGAAGAAGCACCGGCUAACUCCGUGCCAGCAGCCGCGGUAAU